CCCCAGUCCACACCCAGGACCGUGCCUUCUGCAGACCUCCUCUCCCACUGUUCGUGUCAGCCCUGUUCUACACUGUGCCCUGUUUCUGAGCCACUGAGCAUCCUCUGGCUCCAGCAGAGAAAGUUCUGGGGCUGAGCCACGUCUGGGCUUGGCUGGCUGUCAGGCACUGGGGCCUUGGCCGCAAGCCCCACUAGCCCACAUAGCCUUACCCACCACUGCUCGUCACUAUAGAUUCCCUGGUGAGCUUCCUGCUCCUUUAGCCUCAUUGCCACUGUCAUCAGGUGCAGUGCUGUUUGUUUGCAGUGGUGGUGUGGGCAUGGUGUCACUAAGGAGAAAAUUGGGGCUUCGUUUAACCAGAC
Molecule: long non-coding RNA, 359 nt
Filed under: Androctonus crassicauda
Lineage: Eukaryota; Metazoa; Arthropoda; Arachnida; Scorpiones; Buthidae
Source: RNAcentral